UAUCAGUCCACUAAUUAGGAAUAAACCUAACUAGGCUGUAAAAAGCCAUAAGCUACAAUAAUCAUCACCCUAAAAAUAAACAACUUUAACUCGUGAAAGUUAGGAUACAAACUAAGAUUAGAUACCCUACUAUGCCUAACUAUAACACAACAAUAAAAUUACCCAUUGUUCGCCAAAUAACUACGAGUAAAAACUUAAAAUUUAAAAGACUUGACGGUACUUCACACCAACCUAGAGGAGCCUGUUCAAUAACCGAUACUCCACGAUUAACCCCACCCCCCCUAGCCCACAGUCUAUAUACCGCCGUCGCCAGCCUACCUUAUGAAAGAAACAAAGUAAGCCAAAUAGCCACACACUAACACGACAGGUCGAGGUGUAACUUAUGGGAGGGAUCAAAAUGGGCUACAUUUUCUAAUACAGAAAAUACGGAUAGACUAUGAAAUAAGAAACUAAAGGAGGAUUUAGCAGUAUGUUGGGAACAAAAUACCCAACCGAAAUUUGCAAUGAAGUGCGUACACACCGCCCGUCAUCCCUGUUAACAAACUAAAAUAUUCAUAAACAAAAAUCAACUAUAAAGCAGGGCAAGUCGUAACAUG
This 596-nucleotide ribosomal RNA is filed under the name Boiga dendrophila. RNAcentral describes it as "partial 12S ribosomal RNA". Lineage: Eukaryota; Metazoa; Chordata; Lepidosauria; Squamata; Colubridae. The record is from RNAcentral.